UACAGAGGGGGCAAGCGUUGUUCGGAAUUACUGGGCGUAAAGGGCGCGUAGGCGGCCUGUUAAGUCGAACGUGAAAUCCCCGGGCUCAACCCGGGAACUGCGUCCGAUACUGGCAGGCUUGAAUCCGGGAGAGGGAUGCGGAAUUCCAGGUGUAGCGGUGAAAUGCGUAGAUAUCUGGAGGAACACCGGUGGCGAAGGCGGCAUCCUGGACCGGCAUUGACGCUGAGGCGCGAAAGCCAGGGGGAGCAAAACGGG
RNAcentral lists this ribosomal RNA (255 nucleotides) under uncultured bacterium. RNAcentral's name for it is "partial 16S ribosomal RNA". It matches the Rfam family "Bacterial small subunit ribosomal RNA", at positions 524 to 777 of the family's 1533-position model. The record is from RNAcentral.